This 464-nucleotide ribosomal RNA is filed under the name uncultured bacterium. RNAcentral describes it as "partial 16S ribosomal RNA". It matches the Rfam family "Bacterial small subunit ribosomal RNA", at positions 28 to 507 of the family's 1533-position model. The record is from RNAcentral.
GACGAACGCUGGCGGCGUGCUUAACACAUGCAAGUCGAACGGAAAGGCCCUGCUUGCAGGGUACUCGAGUGGCGAACGGGUGAGUAACACGUGGGUGAUCUGCCCUGCACUUCGGGAUAAGCCUGGGAAACUGGGUCUAAUACCGGAUAGGAGCCAUUUUUAGUGUGAUGGUUGGAAAGUUUUUUCGGUGUAGGAUGAGCUCGCGGCCUAUCAGCUUGUUGGUGGGGUAAUGGCCUACCAAGGCGGCGACGGGUAGCCGGCCUGAGAGGGUGGACGGCCACAUUGGGACUGAGAUACGGCCCAGACUCCUACGGGAGGCAGCAGGGGGGAAUAUUGCACAAUGGGCGGAAGCCUGAUGCAGCGACGCCGGGUGGGGGAUGACGGCCUUCGGGUUGUAAACCCCUUUCGCCAGGGACGAAGCUUUUUUGACGGGAACCGAUAAAAAAGGACCGGCUAAAUAAGGG